RNAcentral lists this unclassified non-coding RNA (354 nucleotides) under Hevea brasiliensis (rubber tree). Lineage: Eukaryota; Viridiplantae; Streptophyta; Magnoliopsida; Malpighiales; Euphorbiaceae. The record is from RNAcentral.
GAAAAAGUAUAUUUACUGUAAUAUAAAAAUAAUUUUAUAAUUUUAUAAAAUAGUUUUAUUAAAAUAAAUUUACUGUAAACAAAUAGAAGAAAAGGGGAAAAAAAAGAGGAAAGGCGGAGCCUGGAGUCUGUUGAUCCUCACUUCCAGAGAUGGGAAAAUGGGAGAAAUCAAACAAACAAGCAUGGGAAUUCUUUCAACAAUUCUCCCUGUCGCGCUUCUAAUCGCUUGUUCUGUAACUCACGUGAGAUCGGACGCCUCCAAUCACCGCUACAAGGACGGCGAUUCUGUUCCCCUCUGCGCCAAUAAGGUCGGCCCCUUUCACAACCCCAGGUAUGCACAAGAUGAGGAAAAUGC